ACGGGUGUAGCUCAAUUGGCAGAGUAGCGGUCUCCAAAACCGUUGGUUCGGGGUUCGAAUCCCUGCACCCGUG
RNAcentral lists this transfer RNA (73 nucleotides) under Chloroflexota bacterium. RNAcentral describes it as "Chloroflexi bacterium (groundwater metagenome) tRNA-Trp". It matches the Rfam family "tRNA". Rfam says of the family: Transfer RNA (tRNA) molecules are approximately 80 nucleotides in length. Their secondary structure includes four short double-helical elements and three loops (D, anti-codon, and T loops). Lineage: Bacteria; Bacillati; Chloroflexota. The record is from RNAcentral. RNAcentral also lists the same sequence under 1 other name.